Rhineura floridana is the source of this 1517-nucleotide long non-coding RNA. RefSeq lists it as uncharacterized. The transcript is spliced from 4 exons. The record is from RefSeq and is a predicted model, not a curated record. NCBI's taxonomy places the organism in Eukaryota, Metazoa, Chordata, Lepidosauria, Squamata, Rhineuridae.
GUCCUCCCACAGAGCGUGGAACAAAUAGCCGGUUGCCAGGAUGGCUUUUUGCCUGUAAGGCUUUCUUUUGAGACCUUAGGAAGAAGGAACAAAGGGAAUGUGGAAAUGAAAGAGGGAGGCUGGCAGAUGUGAUGAGCAGCGGCGAAGGUGUACCCAGUCUGGCACUCGCUCCCCCUUCUCGCUCUCGCUCUCCCUCCAGCCUCGGCGCCUCGCAGCCUUCCGCAGGCAGCCUGCCCUCCCGCGCUAAGAAACGUGCUUUUUAGAUACAGCCGCGUGCUUAUAGAUGGAGCACCGGGACGUAGCACAAGUUGACUUGGAAGACACUGGAGGUUGGGAAGACUCACCUGUAAGAAAGCAGUUUCAGGAAGGAAGCCUAGCAUUCAUGUAGCCUCGCCGGGAUUCCUUCAGUUUCCAGUAGGGGAAAGUACCGUUAACAUCAAAAAGCCUGCUUCAGAGACCGGCGUCCUAUGCCUGAGUAAAGCAGUGGGUUUCCUCAAGAUAAGGCCGAGUAACAGCAACGUGGGGCUAAUUUCCAUUGCGUUUUGGUUAGAAUCAGACUCAGCCAGACGGGAGUGUUGAAUUCGACCCUUAGUGCAAUGCAGUGCAAAUAUGUUUGUGUACCUGUUGUUCUAAUGAAUCCUAAUUCACACACACCCUUGAUAUAACUAAAGAACCAUAAACCCCAGUUUGCAUUCAUUCCAACUAUCUCCCGCGGGAGUGGUUUGGUCUCUCAACGUUUGGAAAUGUUUGUUGAGCGCCGUCCGAAACUGCAGAAGAUACUCCCAAAUUGUUUGCUUUGACGCGAGUUUGGUUGCUGAUGAAUCCUUACCACCUGAUGCUUCUUCUGUGCAUUGAUUGAUAUAACACUCCUGACAACGCUCAAGAAUGCAAGCGUCUGAUGGCAGAGCAUCAGCCAAGACUCGGGGUCCCUCAUACCAAACUGAGUUUGUAUGCGGGCUGUUUUCUUAGGCAUGAUUAACUAGACGGAUUGGACUCAAAAAAGUGACAUGUUCCAGAGUAAGAGAUACAAAGUAGGUAAAGUCUUAUUAGACCAGCAUCUUUUUGGUGCAGGAGUAUGCACAUUUACGAACUACACCAGUCUCUUCAUCAGCUAGGUUUUUUAAAAAAAGAUCUUACCAUACGGUGGGGAGAAGGGAUAUUGCUCCAUAUAUAUCUUAAUAAUUUGUGUGUCGAUUUAAAAAAAAGAUUGGAGGAAGAACAUCAGAUCUUCUGGCAAUAAAAAUGUGUAUUUUACAAAACGUACCGAUGUUCCUUGCAGUUUAAUCUACAAUACACGUGAUAUUGCAUAAUCUAAACUAGGGGAAAAAGUUGUACUAACAAUUAUGAAAGGGUACCAGGCGAAAACUUGGUUGGCAACAAAACAGUUUGAAUGGAAUGAAAAGAACAGUCGAAAUUUGGAUGUUAUAGAUGUGCGGCUAAUGACAUGUUAAGACAAAAACUGUCCAGCCAAACUGGUUAAAUGAAAACGGGGAAACUUAAACAGGAACGUAUGUUAC